GAGUUUGCAUGUGGCCGUUGGGUCGCCUAUAUAGGGGAUGCCCGCAAGGGCUAUGGCGAUAAAUGGUCAUUGUAAUAAACCCAUCGGACCCGGGGGCAGUACCCGGCGUCUCCACCA
This 117-nucleotide transfer-messenger RNA is filed under the name Pelagibacterium sp. SCN 63-23. Its description in RNAcentral is "partial transfer-messenger RNA". It matches the Rfam family "Alphaproteobacteria transfer-messenger RNA", at positions 1 to 119 of the family's 355-position model. Rfam says of the family: Bacterial tmRNA, also known as 10Sa RNA or SsrA, is named for its dual tRNA and mRNA-like properties. Its role is to liberate the mRNA from a stalled ribosome. To accomplish this part of the tmRNA is used as a reading frame that ends in a translation stop signal. The record is from RNAcentral. Lineage: Bacteria; Pseudomonadati; Pseudomonadota; Alphaproteobacteria; Hyphomicrobiales; Devosiaceae.